GACGAACGCUGGCGGCGUGCUUAACACAUGCAAGUCGAACGGAAAGGCCCUGCUUUUGUGGGGUGCUCGAGUGGCGAACGGGUGAGUAACAUGUGAGUAACCUGCCCCUGACUUUGGGAUAACUUCAGGAAACUGGGGCUAAUACCGGAUAGGAGCUCCUGCUGCAUGGUGGGGGUUGGAAAGUUUCGGCGGUUGGGGAUGGACUCGCGGCUUAUCCGCUUGUUGGUGGGGUAGUGGCUUACCAAGGCUUUGACGGGUAGCCGGCCUGAGAGGGUGACCGGCCACAUUGGGACUGAGAUACGGCCCAGACGCCUACGGGAGGCAGCAGUGGGGAAUAUUGCACAAUGGGCGGAAGCCUGAUGCAGCAACGCCGGGUGCGGGAUGACGGCCUUCGGGUUGUAAACCGCUUUCGCCUGUGACAAAGCGUGAGUGACGGUAAUGGGUAAAGAAGCACCGGCUAACUACGUG
RNAcentral lists this ribosomal RNA (468 nucleotides) under uncultured bacterium. RNAcentral describes it as "partial 16S ribosomal RNA". It matches the Rfam family "Bacterial small subunit ribosomal RNA", at positions 28 to 507 of the family's 1533-position model. The record is from RNAcentral.